UAUGGUCCUUGGAAGAAGAAAAAUCUUGCUGAUUUUGGAAUUGUCACCCAGUGCUCCGCCCCUCAAAGGGUCAAUGACCAAUAUUUGACUAAUCUUCUCUUGAAGAUUAAUGCAAAGCUGGGUGGGUUAAAUUCUUUGUUAGCAGUUGAACAUACUCCUUCCAUUCCACUGGUUUCUAAGGUUCCUACAAUCAUCCUUGGGAUGGAUGUGUCACACGGCUCUCCUGGGCAUUCUGAUGUCCCAUCGAUUGCUGCGGUGGUCAGUUCCAGGAAUUGGCCAUUGAUUUCUCGUUAUAGGGCAUCUGUUCGCACACAGUCUCCUAAGGUGGAAAUGAUAGAUUCUCUUUAUAAACGUGUGUCUGACACCGAGGACGAGGGAAUGAUCAGGGAGCUUCUGUUGGAUUUUUAUAAUAGUUCGGGUAAAAGGAAACCAGAACAGAUCAUCAUAUUCAGGGAUGGCGUCAGUGAAUCUCAAUU
This 476-nucleotide unclassified non-coding RNA is filed under the name Hevea brasiliensis (rubber tree). The record is from RNAcentral. Lineage: Eukaryota; Viridiplantae; Streptophyta; Magnoliopsida; Malpighiales; Euphorbiaceae.